GCCGUACAAUGGCAAGAGGAAGGUGGCAUCCUUCGGGGUGUGUUAUAGCCUUUUGUCGCAUGCGGUGAAUGGGAUCGAGGAAUGCAGCACGCCCGCAAGGGUUUGGGGAUUCGUNCACAUACGUGCUUCGGAUGCUGGCGUAAUGGCUUUAAACGACCCGUCUUGAAACACGGACCAAGGAGUCUAACAUGCAAGCGAGUGUUAGGGUGUCAAACCCUUGCGCGUAAUGAAAGUGAAAAGUUGGGAAUCUCGUCACUGGGAUGCACCGACGCCCGGUCCUGAAGUUUACGGAUGGAUCUGAGGCAGAGCUUGUAUGCUGGGACCCGAAAGAUGGUGAACUAUGCCUGCAUAGGGCGAAGCCAGAGGAAACUCUGGUGGAGGCUCGUAGC
RNAcentral lists this ribosomal RNA (389 nucleotides) under Myxarium evanidum. Its description in RNAcentral is "partial large subunit ribosomal RNA". It matches the Rfam family "Eukaryotic large subunit ribosomal RNA", at positions 474 to 881 of the family's 3401-position model. The record is from RNAcentral. Lineage: Eukaryota; Fungi; Basidiomycota; Agaricomycetes; Auriculariales; Hyaloriaceae.